CACGCCCCCUCGCGCGCAGCGCGGACCGCUCACACACAGAGCUGGAGACGAUCACCAAUCAAGACACCUGGCAGUGAUUACGGACGACAGAAUAAAGAUUCCCGCCGCUGAACCCUCGUCGUUGGAACGUUGCUAUUGCUUGCACCCCUGUCUCCAUUCCUGCUGCCAUCCUCUCUGGAACCCUGAUUUGCUCUCCUGGAUCCCUGACACAUUGCCUGGACUUUGGACGCUCUCUCCUGCCCCACGACCACGCUCGGACACCGGAUUGCUUUUGCCUUCUCCCUCUGGUUUUGGACGCCACCAUCCAACACGCACGACAACAUUCUUUACGGUAUUUCCAUAUGUUAAUUCCAGCACAUAGUUCACACUCAAACACAUAGUAGCAUACACAUCCCACGUAAUCAUUAAUUACUCAAUAAAUAUUGAGUUGGACUUCCA
Nerophis ophidion (straightnose pipefish) is the source of this 438-nucleotide long non-coding RNA. RefSeq lists it as uncharacterized. The transcript is spliced from 2 exons. The record is from RefSeq and is a predicted model, not a curated record. Lineage: Eukaryota; Metazoa; Chordata; Actinopteri; Syngnathiformes; Syngnathidae.